Molecule: ribosomal RNA, 352 nt
Filed under: uncultured eukaryote
Lineage: Eukaryota
Description: partial 18S ribosomal RNA
Rfam family: Eukaryotic small subunit ribosomal RNA
Source: RNAcentral
CCCUUAGAUGUUCUGGGCCGCACGCGCGCUACACUGAUCGAUUCAACGAGUUUUGAAAUAAUUUUUAUAAUUUUUCAUAUCCUUUGUCGGAAGGCAUGGGUAAUCUUUUAAAUGUCGAUCGUGAUGGGGCUAGAUUCUUGCAAUUAUUAAUCUCCAACGAGGAAUUCCUAGUAAACGCAAGUCAUCAGCUUGCAUUGAUUACGUCCCUGCCCUUUGUACACACCGCCCGUCGCACCUACCGAUUGAAUGGUCCGGUGAAUAUCAUGGAUUGAGGAUGCAAGCAGGUUCGCCUGUCUUCAUCUUCGAGAAGUGAAGUAAAUCUUAUCAUUUAGAGGAAGGAGAAGUCGUAACA